Non-coding RNA from Heterocephalus glaber (naked mole-rat), 676 nucleotides. Lineage: Eukaryota; Metazoa; Chordata; Mammalia; Rodentia; Bathyergidae. The record is from RefSeq and is a predicted model, not a curated record.
CCAGUAUGCAAUUCUUCUGAGUUCCCAGGCAUCUCUGUAGCAAAGAAGAACUGGACUUCCAAGUGUCCCUGAUCCUGGAUAUACCAUAGCUGUUCUCCUUCUGUUUGCCAGGUGGCCCUGUUUGCAGCUGCCAGUUAUCCCAUUUGCAGCUCCAGAUGCCUUCUGUCCUCUGGACCACCAGACAGCAGUGAGUUGAGCACAGCUUGCGGAGUGCUUGGCCUUCCUGUCCUUGCAGUGUCUUUACAGCCCAUGCCAGGAUGUGUAUCUGCACAUCAGUCUCUACCAGGCUGUUUGUCUCAACUGGAUUGGAGGAGGGAGUGGAUGGCAACAGAGAAGAAAGCACUCCAGACCGAAACAAUAUCUUGUCUCUGCUAAGACCCACAAAACUUUCUUCCGUCAGAGAAGGCCUGGAACCAGAGCAACCUGUCUUGUGUGAUAGUAUCCAGGAAAGGAAGGGAAGUGGAAGUUCGACCGUGAGUCAGAGACAGUUCCAAGAUGAGAGAGCCUUGGUGUGACAUCCAUCACACCUGCCCUGCCCCCUCCAGAAACGAUCGUGAGGAUCUGGAUACCUUGUUCCUGAAUUGCUUUGAGUACCAUAAUGUUGUACAUAUUCCUGUUUCCUCCAAUUCUUCGCAAAUAGCACCAGAGGUCUUCAAAUAAAGGGAUGUUAACAUCU